Molecule: ribosomal RNA, 263 nt
Filed under: uncultured Pseudomonas sp.
Lineage: Bacteria; Pseudomonadati; Pseudomonadota; Gammaproteobacteria; Pseudomonadales; Pseudomonadaceae
Description: partial 16S ribosomal RNA
Rfam family: Bacterial small subunit ribosomal RNA
Source: RNAcentral
CGGCGGACGGGUGGAGUAAUAGCCUACGGAAGUACUGCCUCGGUAGUGGGGGACAACGUUUCGAAAGGAACGCUAAUACCGCAUACGUCCUACGGGAGAAAGCAGGGGACCUUCGGGCCUUGCGCUAUCAGAUGAGCCUAGGUCGGAUUAGCUAGUUGGUGAGGUAAUGGCUCACCAAGGCGACGAUCCGUAACUGGUCUGAGAGGAUGAUCAGUCACACUGGAACUGAGACACGGUCCAGACUCCUACGGGAGGCAGCAGCC